ACCGUAGGGUGCGAUCGUUAAUCGGAAUUACUGGGCGUAAAGCGUGCGCAGGCGGCUGUGCAAGACAGAUGUGAAAUCCCCGGGCUUAACCUGGGAACUGCAUUUGUGACUGCACGGCUAGAGUACGGCAGAGGGGGAUGGAAUUCCGCGUGUAGCAGUGAAAUGCGUAGAUAUGCGGAGGAACACCGAUGGCGAAGGCAGUCCCCUGGGCUUGUACUGACGCUCAUGCACGAAAGCGUGGGGAGAAAACAGG
This 253-nucleotide ribosomal RNA is filed under the name uncultured bacterium. RNAcentral describes it as "partial 16S ribosomal RNA". It matches the Rfam family "Bacterial small subunit ribosomal RNA", at positions 524 to 776 of the family's 1533-position model. The record is from RNAcentral.